GGAAGAACUGCUUCUGCUCCUUCAACCAGACCAGCUUCAUCUUCACCUGACCGUCUGAGUUCUGGUACUCCAUCAGAAAGUGCUCGCCGCUGUAGUCGAAGGACAGCGUCUUCUUCGCCAUCAUGAUGCAAAUGGAUGUACCUCCACUGAGCCCUCCAGUGCCUCGCUCUUCCAGGGCAGUUUGAUGUUUCCAGACAGCGAUCUGUGCUGGGACAAGUUGGUCCUGUUGAUGACCUUCAGCUCCACCAGUCCACGCUGGAUCUGAACUGAUCGCAGCAACACAACAAACGUUAGGUGUUUACACCAAACCCAGGACAGUUCUUUCUGUCAGGAGAGUUAUUUUUCAAUCUGGAUGUUAUUAAUCAGAUGAAGAAUCACAGAUUAAAGUCAGAAUUCUGAGUUUAACUUCUACAAACAUUUUAAAUGGUGACAGAAAAGUCAAAAUUCUCAAAAAAAAAUCUGAUAUUACGGCCAAAACACAAGUCAGAAUCAAGAGAAAUGUUUCUAAAAUCGCAUUAUGUAAUCGGAUCACCUGUGUGACAGGAGAGCUGGCGGAAGUGUCCGGACAUGAUCUCAGUGCCGGUGUUGUGCAGGACAAAGUGCAGAGUGUAGCCAUGCAGACCAAACUCAGGGUCCGAGUUAUCCACAGGUGGAAGGUCCACAGGCUCAGAGUACGGGCUGCAGGAAGGGACAAACAGGACAAAAACCAGAGGGAAAACCUGAACAAAGUGAAGAUGAAUGAGGCCCAUAUGUGAACAUAUGUGAUUAUAACAGCUUAUGAAAGUGUAACUACACAGAUAACAUGUCUUUUAAAUUCAACAACAGAUAAUAUUGAGGCACGACUCACUGAUCUAAUUAAUAUAUUUACUCAAAUCAUUCAAAAGUGAUUAAAAGACUGAACCGAUACAUUUGUUUUGAAAUUCAAAAAGGUGCUCAAACGUUUAUUUUAAAUGAUGAAGUUUGCUCUUAAUAAUAUUUUGAAACGGAGCAUUUUGAUGUGAACUAAUCCCCAUCAAUAAUCACACAACAUGACUUUCUUCACUCUUAUAUGCUAUGUUCUCUAUUUUCUGAUCUUCUUCUAAAGAUCACAUUUUGAUGGACACUGAUUAUCUCCAUUGAAUUUUAAUAAAAUAAACGAUUUAACAAUUGAA
Molecule: long non-coding RNA, 1151 nt
Organism: Siniperca chuatsi (mandarin fish)
Lineage: Eukaryota; Metazoa; Chordata; Actinopteri; Centrarchiformes; Sinipercidae
Exons: 2
Source: RefSeq, a predicted model, not a curated record